RNAcentral lists this ribosomal RNA (402 nucleotides) under uncultured bacterium. Its description in RNAcentral is "bacterial SSU rRNA". It matches the Rfam family "Bacterial small subunit ribosomal RNA", at positions 355 to 774 of the family's 1533-position model. The record is from RNAcentral.
UGGGGAAUCUUGCACAAUGGGGGAAACCCUGAUGCAGCGACGCCGCGUGAACGAUGAAGCCCUUCGGGGUGUAAAGUUCUUUCGACAGGAACGAUAAUGACGGUACCUGGGGAAGAAGCUGCGGCUAACUACGUGCCAGCAGCCGCGGUAAUACGUAGGCAGCGAGCGUUGUUCGGAGGUACUGGGCGUAAAGAGUGCGUAGGCGGCGAGCCAAGUUUGGUGUGAAAUCUCCCGGCUUAACCGGGAGGGUGCGCCGAAAACUGGUUGGAUGGAGUAUGGGAGAGGAAAGCGUAAUUCCUGGUGUAGCGGUGAAAUGUGUAGAUAUCAGGAGGAACACCUGCGGUGUAGACAGCUUUCUGGACCAAAACUGACGCUGAGGCACGAAAGCGUGGGUAGCAAACA